CAGGGAUUAAAUAAGACAAUAUGAGGGAAUGAAUGCAUAAAGUAUUAUACUUUUCUAUUAUCCAUCAACUUCUAAAAUGCUAAUCAAACAGAUCAUUUCACACGUUGUCAUUACGAAAUCAUGCAAAUGCGCUGAUAGUGUCUCAACCGGAAUAGAUAUAUUCAGGCGUCAGUGGAUCCUACAACAGCUGCCUAAUCGUAUAUGCCGUUCCAUAUGGUGUCCUGGGGGAUGUAAGCUCGGACUCUAUAUUCACAUAGUCCGUUGAGGGAUGCUAAGUAAAUGAAUGAGGGAUCGGACGACCGUGACUGCUAGUUGCCCACACCACAUUCAUGCACUGGAGCACAUUCCUGCAAUGAUUAACGUACACCAGGCUCCAUACCCACAUGGGUUUACUGAACCCCUCUCUACAUCACACGGUGACUCGGACUGGACAGGACAGGGCAGGCUCUUUACCAAAUGUGGAACUGCAACGAUCGCGAUGCGAACGUUCUUCUGACUUUGAAACCCGCACCACUUUGCUAGUGUUGACGGUGUCCUUUUAAGGUGUUCGAGCCUGCUCCGCCCUUGUCACAUGUCCCGAUACAACAUUAACUUCUGAUUCUUUCAAAGUAAUAUCAUUCCAUGAUCUCAUGUUUUACCUCGUGAUCGGAGAAUUACUGUAAGCUACUUAUCGGUGAGUCACGGUUAACUAAUACUUUAAGGGCCUUUUGCAGUCCGUUACUCGAGUUCUAUAUCUCUUGAUUUAUUAACAAGCGGCAUGAAAUAACCGCAGUUCUCAAUAAUGUUUAUUUUUAUAAAUUUGUCUUGUUUCGAAGAUGCAACAGUGUGUUGUUUCACGAUGUAUUUUGUUGGGAAUGAUUGUCACUGUCACCGACUCACUGCAAGGUUCUGUUUUGUACACAAUGAACUUGAUUUGUAGGGAAUGCGGGGAAUUCGUCCUAUAUGGUACAAUAUCAACGGUUUUGUAGAUCCCAUCUCUGUUUUGGACGUAAUAUGUCGUCCCAUCCAAACUGCGUUGUACAUGUAAGUCACUGGAUUUUCAAGUCCAGACCCGAUGAUUAAGGGACCACCAUCAUUUCAUUGCAGCUUCAAAACACACCAGUGUUCCAAACUCAUCUUCACAUGUGAUACAAAUGACGUAUAUCUUGAAACGAUAAUAUGGAUCCGCAGAUAUGGAGAUAUAGAGACUGAUAACAGCGCACCUGCAAAUCUACCCCGCAAGUGAUGACGUUAUAACCACCCUUACUAUUCAUUUAGUAUGUGUUUGCGAAGAAGAUGUAUCGUACAAGAGUCUGUAUCGAAAAGUUGCACUUACGAAAUAACUUACGAAAGGAGUUGUUAUCCAUAACGUUUGUCAAUAUUGUACUUACCAACUUCUAAAAUGCCUGUUUCCCCUUUUGAAAAAUUA
Molecule: long non-coding RNA, 1408 nt
Organism: Haliotis rubra (blacklip abalone)
Lineage: Eukaryota; Metazoa; Mollusca; Gastropoda; Lepetellida; Haliotidae
Exons: 2
Source: RefSeq, a predicted model, not a curated record